This is a non-coding RNA of Cinara cedri, 213 nucleotides long. NCBI's taxonomy places the organism in Eukaryota, Metazoa, Arthropoda, Insecta, Hemiptera, Aphididae. The record is from the annotation of a GenBank genome assembly.
GACGCGUCGACUAGAUUCAAAAUGUUACGAAAACGGUCGUUUUUCGGUCAGAACGAGAUUCCGAGGAUGGUACAGGUAGCAAUAAAGUUGGUUUUUGUAAGGCAAUUGUCUCGUGACUAAAAUGGGUGGGUGGACGGGUGACCAUCUAGAGAUGCCUUUAGUUUUGUGUAUUGUAUUAUUAAUCUACAUAUACAUAGGUAUUAUUCGUUCAAU